This 700-nucleotide ribosomal RNA is filed under the name uncultured bacterium. RNAcentral's name for it is "bacterial SSU rRNA". It matches the Rfam family "Bacterial small subunit ribosomal RNA", at positions 8 to 700 of the family's 1533-position model. The record is from RNAcentral.
AGAGUUUGAUCAUGGCUCAGAUUGAACGCUGGCGGAAUGCUUUACACAUGCAAGUCGAACGGCAGCACGAGAGCUUGCUCUUGGUGGCGAGUGGCGAACGGGUGAGUAAUAUAUCGGAACGUAUCCAAUAAUGGGGGAUAACUAAUCGAAAGGUUGGCUAAUACCGCAUACGCCCUACGGGGGAAAGCAGGGGAUCUUCGGACCUUGCGUUAAUGGAGCGGCUGAUAUCUGAUUAGCUAGUAGGUGAGGUAAAGGCUCACCUAGGCUUCGAUCAGUAGCUGGUCUGAGAGGACGACCAGCCACACUGGAACUGAGACACGGUCCAGACUCCUACGGGAGGCAGCAGUGGGGAAUUUUGGACAAUGGGGGCAACCCUGAUCCAGCCAUUCCGCGUGAGUGAAGAAGGCCUUCGGGUUGUAAAGCUCUUUCGCAAGGGAAGAAACGGUGCAGACGAAUAAUCUGUGCUAAUGACGGUACCUUGAUAAGAAGCACCGGCUAACUACGUGCCAGCAGCCGCGGUAAUACGUAGGGUGCGAGCGUUAAUCGGAAUUACUGGGCGUAAAGCGUGCGCAGGCGGUUUUGUAAGUCAGAUGUGAAAUCCCCGAGCUCAACUUGGGAACUGCGUUUGAAACUACAAGGCUAGAGUAUGGUAGAGGGGGGGUAGAAUUCCACGUGUAGCAGUGAAAUGCGUAGAGAUGUG